This 64-nucleotide transfer RNA is filed under the name Gigantometra gigas. Its description in RNAcentral is "tRNA-Ile". Lineage: Eukaryota; Metazoa; Arthropoda; Insecta; Hemiptera; Gerridae. The record is from RNAcentral.
AAUAAGAUGCCUGAUUAAAGGGCUAUUUUGAUAGAAUAGAUAAUGUAAAUAUUUACUCUUAUUA